Molecule: ribosomal RNA, 496 nt
Filed under: uncultured bacterium
Lineage: Bacteria
Description: partial 16S ribosomal RNA
Rfam family: Bacterial small subunit ribosomal RNA
Source: RNAcentral
GAUGAACGCUGGCGGCGUGCCUAAUACAUGCAAGUCGAGCGAACAGACGAGGAGUUUGCUCCUUUGACGUUAGCGGCGGACGGGUGAGUAACACGUGUAUAACCUACCUAUCAGACUGGUAUAACUUCGGGACACCGGAGCUUACACCGGAGAAUAUCUUGAACCGCAGGGUUCAAUGGAGAAAGACGGCUUUGCUGUCACUACUAGAUGGAUCUGCGCUGCAUUAGCUAGUUGGUAAGGUAACGGCUUACCAAGGCAAGGAUGCGUAGCCGACCUGAGAGGGUGAUCGGCCACACUGGAACUGAGACACGGUCCAGACUCCGACGGGAGGCAGCAGUAGGGAAUCUUCCGCAGUGGGCGAAAGCCUGACGGAGCAACGCCGCGUGAGUGAUGAAGGUCUGCGGAUCGUAAAACUCUGUUAUUAGGGAAGAACAAAUGUGUAAGUAACUAUGCACGUCUUGACGGUACCUAAUCAGAAAGCCACGGCUAACUACGU